CAAACACACAACCAAAUGAUACUCAAUGUUUGACACUUUGUGACUGUCCAGCUGAAUGAUCACACGACCUGUGGACAACAACAACAACGGCACAACUCCCCACCCCCUUCCCCUUCCCACUCCCCCUCCCCUUCUCACUCCCCCUCCCCUUCUCACUCCCCCUCCCCUUCUCACUCCCCCUCCCCUUCUCACUCCCCCUCAGCUUCCCACUCCCCCUCAGCUUCCCAGUCCCCCUCAGCUUCCCAGUCCCCCUCAUCUUCCCAGUCCCCCUCAUCUUCACAGUCCCCCUCAUCUUCACAUUCCCCCUCAGCUUCACAGUCCCCCUCAGCUUCCCUGGCCCACUCCACUUUCCAUUCCCCUUCUCACCACACCUCUCCAUCUCUUUCUGGGACCCCUUCUCCUCCUUCCCAUACCCCUUCUCCUUCCACUUCGACAUCCCCAUCUGAGCCACCCUCACCCUCUAUUGCUUUACAUUUUUCACCGCCCCCCUCGCCCUCUCAAUCCGACCCCCCCUCUGAAUUUGCGGCCAAAAUCCAGCCUCCUUCCCCCAUCCAGCCUCCUGCCCCAAUCCCUCCUCCUUCCCCAAUCACUCCUCCUUCCCCAAUCACUCCUCCUUCCCCCAUCCAGCCGCCUUCCCCCAUCGAGCCACCAUCCCCACCAACUGAAUGGGCACAGGAAGCCCCUGCUGGAAAUUCCGGGAGUCUGGAAGUUUCGGAGGAAAAUGUUGCCGUUGGAGAUCAAAUUUCUUUUGAGGACAUUCUGCAACAGAUGAAAACACAUUUACAGGCCUUGCUGGCUCUUGUAGAGCAAAUGCAAAAUGUCCAUUAGUUCAGU
This is a long non-coding RNA of Pseudophryne corroboree (corroboree frog), 834 nucleotides long. RefSeq lists it as uncharacterized. The record is from RefSeq and is a predicted model, not a curated record. Lineage: Eukaryota; Metazoa; Chordata; Amphibia; Anura; Myobatrachidae. The transcript has 3 exons.